AACGAACGCUGGCGGCAUGCCUAACACAUGCAAGUCGAACGAGACCUUCGGGUCUAGUGGCGCACGGGUGCGUAACGCGUGGGAACCUGCCCUUAGGUUCGGAAUAACUCCCCGAAAGGGGUGCUAAUACCGGAUAAUGUCUUCGGACCAAAGAUUUAUCGCCUUUGGAUGGGCCCGCGUUGGAUUAGCUAGUUGGUAGGGUAAAAGCCUACCAAGGCGACGAUCCAUAGCUGGUCUGAGAGGAUGAUCAGCCACACUGGGACUGAGACACGGCCCAGACUCCUACGGGAGGAGGCAUUGGGGAAAAUUGGACAAGGGGCGAAAGCCUGACCAACCAAUGCGGCGUGAGGAAUGAAGGCCUUAGGUUUGUAAAGCUCUUUUACCCGGAAUGUUAAUGACAGUACCGGAGAAUAAGCUCCGGCUAACUCCGUG
RNAcentral lists this ribosomal RNA (432 nucleotides) under uncultured bacterium. RNAcentral describes it as "partial 16S ribosomal RNA". It matches the Rfam family "Bacterial small subunit ribosomal RNA", at positions 29 to 507 of the family's 1533-position model. The record is from RNAcentral.